AUCACAAGAGAUGUCAGUUUAUUCUAAAGAUAUUUUACAAGUAAAUUUUAUCUUCUAAAAUAUAAUUAAAAAUUUUAAAAUUUUUUGUAUAUACAAUUUAUUGGAUAUAAAAAAUUAUCAUCCCGCAUAUGAAAUAUUAAUAAUCCAACCUUACUAAUCCGAGUUAAACCUGCAAUAUACCCAAUCCAAUUUACAAAAAUAAAUAAAUUCCAUAUUUUAAGCCACUAAUUUUUAGAGCCCAAUCUCUAAUAUAACAUUAAACUUAUUCGGCCU
This 273-nucleotide long non-coding RNA is filed under the name Elaeis guineensis (African oil palm). RNAcentral describes it as "long non-coding RNA (EGUI_LNC015842)". Lineage: Eukaryota; Viridiplantae; Streptophyta; Magnoliopsida; Arecales; Arecaceae. The record is from RNAcentral.